Molecule: ribosomal RNA, 873 nt
Filed under: Pseudomonas aeruginosa
Lineage: Bacteria; Pseudomonadati; Pseudomonadota; Gammaproteobacteria; Pseudomonadales; Pseudomonadaceae
Description: bacterial SSU rRNA
Rfam family: Bacterial small subunit ribosomal RNA
Source: RNAcentral
UGCAGUCGAGCGGAUGAAGGGAGCUUGCUGCCUGGAUUCAUCGGCGGACGGGUGAGUAAUGCCUAGGAAUCUGCCUGGUACUGGGGGAUAACGUCCGGAAACGGGCGCUAAUACCGCAUACGUCCUGAGGGAGAAAGUGGGGGAUCUUCGGACCUCACGCUAUCGGAUGAGCCUAGGUCGGAUUAGCUAGUUGGUGGGGUAACGGCCUACCAAGGCGACGAUCCGUAACUGGUCUGAGAGGAUGAUCAGGCACACUGGAACUGAGACACGGACCAGACUCCUACGCCAGGCAGCAGUGGGGAAUAUUGGACAAUGGGCGAAAGCCUGAUCCAGCCAUGCCGCGUGUGUGAAGAAGGUCUUCGGAUUGUAAAGCACUUUAAGUUGGGAGGAAGGGCAGUAAGUUAAUACCUUGCUGUUUUGACGUUACCAACAGAAUAAGCACCGGCUAACUUCGUGCCAGCAGCCGCGGUAAUACGAAGGGUGCAAGCGUUAAUCGGAAUUACUGGGCGGAAAGCGCGCGUAGGUGGUUCAGCAAGUUGGAUGUGAAAUCCCCGGGCUCAACCUGGGAACUGCAUCCAAAACUACUGAGCUAGAGUACGGUAGAGGGUGGUGGAAUUUCCUGUGUAGCGGUGAAAUGCGUAGAUAUAGGAAGGAACACCAGUGGCGAAGGCGACCACCUGGACUGAUACUGACACUGAGGUGCGAAAGCGUGGGGAGCAGACAGGAUUAGAUACCCUGGUAGGCCACGCCGUAACGAUGUCGACUAGACGUUGAGAUCCUUGACAUCUUAGUGGGGCAGCUAACGCGAUAAGUCGACCGCCUGGGCAGUACGGCCGCAAGGUAAGACUCAAAUGAAUUGACGGGACGCCGCCC